CAAUAGCGUAUAUUAAAGUUGUUGCGGUUAAAAAGCUCGUAGUUGGAUUUCUGCCGAGGACGACCGGUCCGCCCUCUGGGUGAGUAUCUGGCUCGGCCUGGGCAUCUUCUUGGAGAACGUAGCUGCACUUGACUGUGUGGUGCGGUAUCCAGGACUUUUACUUUGAGGAAAUUAGAGUGUUUCAAGCAGGCUUACGCCUUGAAUACAUUAGCAUGGAAUAAUAAGAUAGGACCUCGGUUCUAUUUUGUUGGUUUCUAGAGCUGAGGUAAUGAUUAAUAGGGAUAGUUGGGGGCAUUCGUAUUUAACUGUCAGAGGUGAAAUUCUUGGAUUUGUUAAAGACGAACUACUGCGAAAGCAUUUGCCAAGGAUGUUUNCAUUGA
This 380-nucleotide ribosomal RNA is filed under the name uncultured eukaryote. RNAcentral's name for it is "partial 18S ribosomal RNA". It matches the Rfam family "Eukaryotic small subunit ribosomal RNA", at positions 592 to 976 of the family's 1831-position model. The record is from RNAcentral.